AUGCACGCUGGCGGCGUGCCUCAUACAUGCCAGUCGAGCGAACAGAUGAGGAGCUUGCUCCUCUGACGUUAGCGGCGGACGGGUGAGUAACACGUGGAUAACCUACCUAUAAGACUGGGAUAACUUCGGGAAACCGGAGCUAAUACCGGAUAAUAUAUUGAACCGCAUGGUUCAAUAGUGAAAGACGGUUUUGCUGUCACUUAUAGAUGGAUCCGCGCCGCAUUAGCUAGUUGGUAAGGUAACGGCUUACCAAGGCAACGAUGCGUAGCCGACCUGAGAGGGUGAUCGGCCACACUGGAACCGAGACACGGUCCAGACUCCUACGGGAGGCAGCAGUAGGGAAUCUUCCGCAAUGGGCGAAAGCUUGACGGAGCAACGCCGCGUGAGUGAUGAAGGUCUUCGGAUCGUAAAACUCUGUUAUUAGGGAAGAACAAAUGUGUAAGUAACUAUGCACGUCUUGACGGUACCUAAUCAGAAAGCCACGGCUAACUACGUG
RNAcentral lists this ribosomal RNA (496 nucleotides) under uncultured bacterium. Its description in RNAcentral is "partial 16S ribosomal RNA". It matches the Rfam family "Bacterial small subunit ribosomal RNA", at positions 29 to 507 of the family's 1533-position model. The record is from RNAcentral.